UGUACUUAUUGGUUUAGAAAGGAUUGUUGAAGAAGAAUAGAAGAUAACAACAAUGAUUUGUAAUCAAAAGUUUAUUACGGUAGCCUUUGUUGUAGUUCUUCUAUUCUCAACAGGUACGGCACUUUCAUAUACAACAAUGAAAUGUUUUGGCCUAUGUACGGAAUACCCUAACUGUCUAGCCUUUUGCACUGGUCAAGGUUAUGCGACAGGAAGAUGUAUUAUUGAUGCUUAUCAAUUAGCUUGUUGUUGUUUCGAUGUUGUUGCUGAAAAACUUGGAAGUUAGAACUUUUCUUCUUGUUGGAAGAAAAUAUUAUGUUUUAUAAAUAUAAAUUAAUAAGAAAUAAAGAAUCAAUGUUAUCAUAAAUAUAAAUUAAUAAGAAAUAAAGAAUCAAUGUUAUCAUAAA
Molecule: non-coding RNA, 404 nt
Organism: Cicer arietinum (chickpea)
Lineage: Eukaryota; Viridiplantae; Streptophyta; Magnoliopsida; Fabales; Fabaceae
Source: RefSeq, a predicted model, not a curated record